UACGGCGGUCAUAGCGUGGGGGAAACGCCCGGUUCCAUUCCGAACCCGGAAGCUAAGGCCCACAGCGCCAUGGUAC
RNAcentral lists this ribosomal RNA (76 nucleotides) under Micrococcus luteus. Lineage: Bacteria; Bacillati; Actinomycetota; Actinomycetes; Micrococcales; Micrococcaceae. The record is from RNAcentral.